AACGCACAUUGCGCCCCCUGGUAUUCCGGCGGGCAUGCCUGUUCGAGCGUCAUUUCAACCCUCAAGCUUUGCUUGGUAUUGGUGGCAGGCCUCUAAUGGCCUCCCCCGAAAAAUAGCGGCGGAUAGUUUGGAUUCCCAGCGCAGUGACUUUUUAAUUCUCGCUGAAAAGGAUCCCCAGGCUCUCCUGCCGGACAACAAACAAUUUUUCUUAUGGUUGACCUCGGAUCAGGUAGGGAUACCCGCUGAACUUAA
Molecule: unclassified non-coding RNA, 252 nt
Filed under: uncultured Dothideomycetes
Lineage: Eukaryota; Fungi; Ascomycota; Dothideomycetes
Description: sequence contains 5.8S rRNA gene, ITS2, 28S rRNA gene
Source: RNAcentral